RNAcentral lists this ribosomal RNA (508 nucleotides) under Salmonella enterica subsp. enterica serovar Virchow. RNAcentral's name for it is "partial 23S ribosomal RNA". It matches the Rfam family "Bacterial large subunit ribosomal RNA", at positions 139 to 688 of the family's 2925-position model. The record is from RNAcentral. Lineage: Bacteria; Pseudomonadati; Pseudomonadota; Gammaproteobacteria; Enterobacterales; Enterobacteriaceae.
CUCGUCACACUAUCAUUAACUGAAUCCAUAGGUUAAUGAGGCGAACCGGGGGAACUGAAACAUCUAAGUACCCCGAGGAAAAGAAAUCAACCGAGAUUCCCCCAGUAGCGGCGAGCGAACGGGGAGGAGCCCAGAGCCUGAAUCAGCAUGUGUGUUAGUGGAAGCGUCUGGAAAGGCGCGCGAUACAGGGUGACAGCCCCGUACACAAAAGCGCAUGUGCUGUGAGCUCGAUGAGUAGGGCGGGACACGUGGUAUCCUGUCUGAAUAUGGGGGGACCAUCCUCCAAGGCUAAAUACUCCUGACUGACCGAUAGUGAACCAGUACCGUGAGGGAAAGGCGAAAAGAACCCCGGCGAGGGGAGUGAAAAAGAACCUGAAACCGUGUACGUACAAGCAGUGGGAGCACCCUUCGGGGUGUGACUGCGUACCUUUUGUAUAAUGGGUCAGCGACUUAUAUUCUGUAGCAAGGUUAACCGUAUAGGGGAGCCGUAGGGAAACCGAGUCUUAAC